UACGGAGGGGGUUAGCGUUGUUCGGAAUUACUGGGCGUAAAGCGCACGUAGGCGGAUUGAUAAGUUGGGGGUGAAAUCCCGGGGCUCAACCCCGGAACUGCCUCCAAAACUAUCAGUCUUGAGUUCGAGAGAGGUGAGUGGAAUUCCGAGUGUAGAGGUGAAAUUCGUAGAUAUUCGGAGGAACACCAGUGGCGAAGGCGGCUCACUGGCUCGAUACUGACGCUGAGGUGCGAAAGCGUGGGGAGCAAACAGG
This 253-nucleotide ribosomal RNA is filed under the name uncultured bacterium. RNAcentral describes it as "partial 16S ribosomal RNA". It matches the Rfam family "Bacterial small subunit ribosomal RNA", at positions 524 to 776 of the family's 1533-position model. The record is from RNAcentral.